CGAAGAAUGCUAUAAUGAAUGCAAGACAGUAAAAGUUUUUUCUAAUGACGGUGGCUAUCCAUUCGAAAGUGAGGUGAUGCGUAUGUGCGUAUCCCAAGAAUCUGUAGAAAGGAGAUGCCUUUUGUCUGUGGAAGCAGCGUUAGGAUUAAUGAUCAGUUUCGGUUCUCUAAUCGCAACUAUCAUUUUCGGAAUCCUGA
This 197-nucleotide small RNA is filed under the name Enterococcus pallens ATCC BAA-351. RNAcentral describes it as "Listeria sRNA rli28". It matches the Rfam family "Listeria sRNA rli28". Lineage: Bacteria; Bacillati; Bacillota; Bacilli; Lactobacillales; Enterococcaceae. The record is from Rfam by way of RNAcentral.